RNAcentral lists this small nuclear RNA (191 nucleotides) under Clohesyomyces aquaticus. Its description in RNAcentral is "U2 spliceosomal RNA". It matches the Rfam family "U2 spliceosomal RNA". Rfam says of the family: U2 is a small nuclear RNA (snRNA) component of the spliceosome (involved in pre-mRNA splicing). Complementary binding between U2 snRNA (in an area lying towards the 5' end but 3' to hairpin I) and the branchpoint sequence (BPS) of the intron results the bulging out of an unpaired adenosine, on the BPS, which initiates a nucleophilic attack at the intronic 5' splice site, thus starting the first of two transesterification reactions that mediate splicing. The record is from Rfam by way of RNAcentral. Lineage: Eukaryota; Fungi; Ascomycota; Dothideomycetes; Pleosporales; Lindgomycetaceae.
AGCUUUUCUUUGCCUUUUGGCUUAGAUCAAGUGUAGUAUCUGUUCUAUCAAUCUUAAUCGAUUGAUCGCAACUACGGUUGCAUCAAAGAUUAUGAUUCUUUUUGGAAUCAGUCCUCCUCUCCCUGGGCUUGCUCAUAGUUGAGGACACAGUGACUCCGGCCCUACACUACAGCUGGACGUCGCGACUGGGA